Molecule: ribosomal RNA, 479 nt
Filed under: uncultured bacterium
Lineage: Bacteria
Description: partial 16S ribosomal RNA
Rfam family: Bacterial small subunit ribosomal RNA
Source: RNAcentral
GACGAACGCUGGCGGCGUGCUUAACACAUGCAAGUCGAACGAAGCUUGAUUACGGAUUCUUCGGAUGAAGUAUGAUAUGACUGAGUGGCGGACGGGUGAGUAACGCGUGAGUAACCUGCCCUUCAGAGGGGGAUAGCGUUUGGAAACGAACGGUAAUACCGCAUAAUGUAUUUUGACCGCAUGAUCGAAAUACCAAAGAUUUAUCGCUGAAGGAUGGACUCGCGUCUGAUUAGGUAGUUGGUGGGGUAACGGCCUACCAAGCCGACGAUCAGUAGCCGGACUGAGAGGUUGAGCGGCCACAUUGGGACUGAGACACGGCCCAGACUCCUACGGGAGGCAGCAGUGGGGAAUAUUGCACAAUGGGCGCAAGCCUGAUGCAGCAACGCCGCGUGAAGGAAGACGGUUUUCGGAUUGUAAACUUCUGUUCUUAGGGAAGAAUAAUGACGGUAGCUAAGGAGCAAGCCACGGCUAACUACGUG